RNAcentral lists this ribosomal RNA (483 nucleotides) under uncultured bacterium. Its description in RNAcentral is "partial 16S ribosomal RNA". It matches the Rfam family "Bacterial small subunit ribosomal RNA", at positions 30 to 507 of the family's 1533-position model. The record is from RNAcentral.
UUGAACGCUGGCGGCAGGCCUAACACAUGCAAGUCGAGCGGAUGAAGGGAGCUUGCUCCUGGAUUCAGCGGCGGACGGGUGAGUAGUGCCUAGGAAUCUGCCUGGUAGUGGGGGAUAACGUCCGGAAACGGGCGCUAAUACCGCAUACGUCCUGAGGGAGAAAGUGGGGGAUCUUCGGACCUCACGCUGUCAGAUGAGCCUAGGUCGGAUUAGCUAGUUGGUGGGGUAAAGGCCUACCAAGGCGACGAUCCGUAACUGGUCUGAGAGGAUGAUCAGUCACACUGGAACUGAGACACGGUCCAGACUCCUACGGGAGGCAGCAGUGGGGAAUAUUGGACAAUGGGCGAAAGCCUGAUCCAGCCAUGCCGCGUGUGUGAAGAAGGUCUUCGGAUUGUAAAGCACUUUAAGUUGGGAGGAAGGGCAGUAAGUUAAUACCUUGCUGUUUUGACGUUACCAACAGAAUAAGCACCGGCUAACUUCGUG